Molecule: transfer RNA, 71 nt
Filed under: Bos taurus (domestic cattle)
Lineage: Eukaryota; Metazoa; Chordata; Mammalia; Artiodactyla; Bovidae
Also listed under: 1 other name
Rfam family: tRNA
About the family: Transfer RNA (tRNA) molecules are approximately 80 nucleotides in length. Their secondary structure includes four short double-helical elements and three loops (D, anti-codon, and T loops).
Source: Rfam by way of RNAcentral
UCCCAACUGGUUUAGUGGUAAAGAAUCUGCCUGCAAGGCAGGAGAUGCAGGUUUGAUCCCUGGGUCGGGAG